This 925-nucleotide long non-coding RNA is filed under the name Arabidopsis lyrata. RNAcentral's name for it is "long non-coding RNA (ALYR_LNC000857)". The record is from RNAcentral. Lineage: Eukaryota; Viridiplantae; Streptophyta; Magnoliopsida; Brassicales; Brassicaceae.
AAGUCGUGCCGUUUCUGUCUCUGGUUGUGAAACUGCAUGUUUUCUUUUUAGGGAAUGUUUUGUAAAGUAGGUUUGUUUGUGUAGGUGGGAGGACCAUAUAUUCCUUUGAAGACAGGAAGGAGAGAUGGACUUAAAAGCAGGACCGAUAUGCUUGAGUCAUAUCUUCCCGACCACAACGAGAGUAUCUCCGUCGUUCUUGACAAGUUCAAAUCCAUCGGAAUCGACACUCCCGGCCUCGUUGCUCUCCUAGGUACCUUUACCUUUCUCUUCCUUGUUUGUCACUCACUAGUCUCGGGUAAAAACGUAUCGCUCGAAAUUCGAAACUGUUGACCAUCCAAGAAAUGUUGUUGGCUUGUUGCUAACGCCUUAGUUCAAGGGUAUUUUAGUUAAUUUCCUCAUGCAUUAAAAUGAAACCAUUUAAGCUAAUCUUGUCAAAUCACGAAAGUAGUAUGCUAUCUGAGUCGGAAAGUUGAAAGUUAUCCUUACCGAACUAUCACUAGUCCUCAGAAAAAGACAAAUUUAUUCUUGUUUAUGCUCCGGCUCAAUGGUCUAGCAGAAGGUUAUUCUGGUCAAUCAACUCAUGCAUGCUUAAAAAUAGUAAUCAAACUAAUUGACUUUACACUUAUGGGAUCUGAAUUUAGGCGAUCGGAAUUUAAGUUUCUUGUUAGAUUUUUUAAGCUUCGAUAUUGAAAGAUUUUGACUUUUUGUUUUGACACGUGCAGGGUCACAUAGCGUGGGAAGAACUCACUGUGUCAAGCUGGUCCAUCGUUUGUACCCUGAGGUGGAUCCGUCCUUGAACCCGGACCACGUCCCUCACAUGCUACAUAAGUGUCCUGACUCUAUCCCUGACCCAAAGGCGGUCCAGUACGUGCGUAACGACCGUGGUACCCCCAUGGUGCUAGACAACAAUUACUACCGUAACAUC